Long non-coding RNA from Photinus pyralis (common eastern firefly), 246 nucleotides. RefSeq lists it as uncharacterized. The transcript has 2 exons. The record is from RefSeq and is a predicted model, not a curated record. NCBI's taxonomy places the organism in Eukaryota, Metazoa, Arthropoda, Insecta, Coleoptera, Lampyridae.
AAUCAGCAAUGUUGAAGUAUUUCAUGUUCGCCCUCCUUACCUUCUUGGUAUUGGUCAACAAUGGUCUCUGUGGCGAAGGUGCAUUCGAAGAAUGCGUUAACUAUCACAACUGCGCCUCGAAGCAUGGAAGUCAACAAGACAGUUGCUACGAUAUGUGCAGUUCAAAUUUGUAGUAACGGAACUGCCCGUUAAAGAUGACGUUUCUUGUUCAAAAUAUAACUUGAGCAAUAAAUAAUUUAAAAAUGA